GGCCGGGUAGCUCAGUCGGUAGAGCAGAGGACUGAAAAUCCUUGUGUCGGCGGUUCGAUUCCGUCCCCGGCCA
RNAcentral lists this transfer RNA (73 nucleotides) under Candidatus Omnitrophota bacterium. Its description in RNAcentral is "Candidatus Omnitrophica bacterium (groundwater metagenome) tRNA-Phe". It matches the Rfam family "tRNA". From Rfam's summary of the family: Transfer RNA (tRNA) molecules are approximately 80 nucleotides in length. Their secondary structure includes four short double-helical elements and three loops (D, anti-codon, and T loops). The record is from RNAcentral. Lineage: Bacteria; Pseudomonadati; Candidatus Omnitrophota.